CGAAAGCGUGGCUAAUACCGCAUACGCCCUACGGGGGAAAGCGGGGGACCUUCGGGCCUCGCACUAUUGGAGCGGCCGAUAUCGGAUUAGCUAGUUGGUGGGGUAACGGCUCACCAAGGCGACGAUCCGUAGCUGGUUUGAGAGGACGACCAGCCACACUGGGACUGAGACACGGCCCAGACUCCUACGGGAGGCAGCAGUGGGGAAUUUUGGACAAUGGGGGCAACCCUGAUCCAGCCAUCCCGCGUGUGCGAUGAAGGCCUUCGGGUUGUAAAGCACUUUUGGCAGGAAAGAAACGGCGCCAGCUAAUACCUGGCGCUAAUGACGGUACCUGCAGAAUAAGCACCGGCUAACUACGUGCCAGCAGCCGCGGUAAUACGUAGGGUGCAAGCGUUAAUCGGAAUUACUGGGCGUAAAGCGUGCGCAGGCGGUUCGGAAAGAAAGAUGUGAAAUCCCAGAGCUUAACUUUGGAACUGCAUUUUUAACUACCGGGCUAGAGU
Molecule: ribosomal RNA, 500 nt
Filed under: Bordetella sp. ES-dyl6
Lineage: Bacteria; Pseudomonadati; Pseudomonadota; Betaproteobacteria; Burkholderiales; Alcaligenaceae
Description: bacterial SSU rRNA
Rfam family: Bacterial small subunit ribosomal RNA
Source: RNAcentral